This 490-nucleotide ribosomal RNA is filed under the name Purcellia sp. n. IZ-129493. Its description in RNAcentral is "partial 16S large subunit ribosomal RNA". Lineage: Eukaryota; Metazoa; Arthropoda; Arachnida; Opiliones; Pettalidae. The record is from RNAcentral.
UUCUUUUAGAGAUAAUUAAAAGUAAUUUCUGCUCCAUGAAAAUUUAAAUAGCCGCAGAUUUCUGUGCUAAGGUAGCGUAAUCAAUUGUCUAUUAAUUGUAGACUAGUAUGAAUGAAAAUAUAAUUAAUAACUUUAUUAUUGGAAAAAAUUUAAAUUUAAGUUCAAUUAAAAAUGAUUGAAAGAUAAAUAGGGACGAGAAGACCCUAUAAAGCUUUAUAUAAAAUUUAUAAUUAAAUAAUUAUAAAAUUUUUUAUUUUAUUGGGGCAAUAUAUUAUGUUUAAUAGAUAUAAUAACUAAUUUUUUAAAAAAAUAUGAAAAUAUAGAUCCAUAAAUUAUGAAAAAUUGAAUAAGUUACUUUAGGGAUAACAGGAUAAUUUAAUUUGAAGAGUACUUAUUAAUAAAUUAGAUUAUUACCUCGAUGUUGAAUUAAUUAUAUUUUUUGGAGAAGAAACUAAAAAUAAUUUAACUGUUCGUUAAUUAAUAAAUUACA